This 563-nucleotide ribosomal RNA is filed under the name uncultured freshwater bacterium. Its description in RNAcentral is "bacterial SSU rRNA". It matches the Rfam family "Bacterial small subunit ribosomal RNA", at positions 8 to 607 of the family's 1533-position model. The record is from RNAcentral.
AGAGUUUGAUCCUGGCUCAGAACGAACGUUGGCGGCCUGGAUUAGGCAUGCAAGUUGAGCGUACCCAGCAAUGGGGAGCAGCGUAAGGGGCAGUAAUGCAUGGGUAUCUACCCGGGGAUCGGGCAUAGCCUGUCGAGAGACAGGGUAAUUCCCGAUGAUGUCGCAAGACCAAAGCUCCGGCGUCCCUGGAGGAGCCCAUGUGAUAUUAGCUAGUUGGUGGGGUAACGGCCCACCAAGGCGAAGAUGUCUAGCGGGUGUGAGAGCACGACCCGCGCCACUGGCACUGAGACACUGGCCAGACACCUACGGGUGGCUGCAGUCGAGGAUCUUCGGCAAUGGGCGCAAGCCUGACCGAGCGAGGCCGCGUGGGCGAUGAAGGCCUUCGGGUUGUAAAGCCCUGUCGAGGGGGAGAAAAGCCGCAAGGCGUGAUCUAUCCCUGGAGGAAGCACGGGCUAAGUUCGUGCCAGCAGCCGCGGUAAGACGAACCGUGCGAACGUUGUUCGGAAUCACUGGGCUUAAAGGGCGCGUAGGCGGGCUAUCAAGUCCGGGGUGAAAUCCUCCAG